UGAUUGAUCCUGUCAGCAUCAUAUGCUUGUCUCAAAGAUUAAGCCAUGCAUGUCUAAGUAUAAGCGUUAUACUGCGAAACUGCGAAUGGCUCAUUAAAUCAGUGUUAAUUUCCUCGACAGUAUUUUUCCUUCGGAUAACCGCAGGAAACUGGGGCUAAUACGUGCUUAAGAACUCUUUGAGUUCGCUCUUAUUAGAUUCAAAUCAACCCUGCUUGCAGGAGUCGGUGAACCAUAAUAAGGUCGCAAAUCUUCAUGAUAUGUCGAUUAAAACACUGCCCUAUCACACCACUAUGUAGGAUAGAGGCCUACAUAAGUUCUGACGGGUAACGGAGAAUUAGGGUUUGAUUCCGGAGAGGAGGCUUGAGAAAUGGCCACCAACUUCAUGGGGGGCAGCAGGUGCGAAAAUUACCCAAUCUGAAAACCAGGAGGUAGUGACAAGAAAUACUAUGAAUGGCCUUUCUGGUCCGUUUGUGGAAUGAACUGAGUCUAAAAAACUCUAUGAAUGCAACUGGAGGGCAAGUCUGGUGCCAGCAGCCGCGGUAAGUCCAGCUCCAGUAGUGUAUGUUGAUGUUGUUGCAGUUAAAAAGCUCGUAGUUGAAUUUGUGAACUGGAUAACACUGUUGACGAAACGUCUCAGAUGCUUAUCUCGUUCUUCUGGUUUGUAAGACUUUCCUACUUUAUUGAAGGACUGCUCGAGCAGACCCGUUUACUUUGAAUAAAUUGGAGUGCUCAAAACAUGUUAUUGCAAUUGAACACUACAGCAUGGAAUAAUGAAAGAGGACCUAUGUUUCCGUUUUGUUGGUAUAUCGGCAUAGGUAAUGAUUAAUAGGGACAGUUGGGGCCAUUUCUAUCUGUACGUUAGGGGUGAAAUCCUACGAUCGGACGGAGAGAAACAAAUGCGAAAGCACUUGGCAAGGAUGUUCUCAUUGAUAAAGAACGAAAGUCGGGGUAUCGAAGACGAUCAGACACCGUCGUAGUCCCGGCCAUAAACGAUGCCGACUAGGGAUUGGAGAUAGAACAAAUAUAACGACUUCUUCAGCACCUUACGAGAAAUCAAAGUUUUUGGGUUCUGGGGGGAGUAUGGUCGCAAGGCUGAAACUUAAAGGAAUUGACGGAAGGGCACCACAAGGAGUGGAGCUUGCGGCUUAAUUCGAUCAACACGGGAAAACUUACCAGGUCUGGACAUUUGUAGGAUUGACAGGUUGAGAGUCCUUUCUUGAUUCUAUGAUUGGUGGUGCAUGGCCGUUCUUAGUUGGUGGAGUGAUUUGUCUGGUUUAUUCCGUUAACGAACGAGACCUCAUCCUGCUAAAUAGCUAACUUUCACAUUUAUUUUGGAGUUAGACUUCUUAGAGGGACUGCCAGCUUUUAAGCUGGAGGAAGGGUGAGGCAAUAACAGGUCCGUGAUGCCCUUAGACGUUCUGGGCCGCACGCGUGCUACACUGACACCGUCAACGAGCU
RNAcentral lists this ribosomal RNA (1458 nucleotides) under metagenome. Its description in RNAcentral is "SSU rRNA". It matches the Rfam family "Eukaryotic small subunit ribosomal RNA", at positions 5 to 1521 of the family's 1831-position model. The record is from RNAcentral.